GAUGAACGCUGGCGGCGUGCCUAAUACAUGCAAGUCGAGCGAACGGACGAGAAGCUUGCUUCUCUGAUGUUAGCGGCGGACGGGUGAGUAACACGUGGAUAACCUACCUAUAAGACUGGGAUAACUUCGGGAAACCGGAACUAAUACCGGAUGAUAUUUUGAACCGCAUGGUUCAAAAGUGAAAGACGGUCUUGCUGUCACUUAUAGAUGGAUCCGUGCUGCAUUAGCUAGUUGGCAAGGUAACGGCUUACCAAGGCAACGAUGCAUAGCCGACCUGAGAGGGUGAUCGGCCACACUGGAACUGAGACACGGUCCAGACUCCUACGGGAGGCAGCAGUAGGGAAUCUUCCGCAAUGGGCGAAAGCCUGACGGAGCAACGCCGCGUGAGUGAUGAAGGUCUUCGGAUCGUAAAACUCUGUUAUUAGGGAAGAACAUAUGUGUAAGUAACUGUGCACAUCUUGACGGUACCUAAUCAGAAAGCCACGGCUAACUACGUG
This 497-nucleotide ribosomal RNA is filed under the name uncultured bacterium. Its description in RNAcentral is "partial 16S ribosomal RNA". It matches the Rfam family "Bacterial small subunit ribosomal RNA", at positions 28 to 507 of the family's 1533-position model. The record is from RNAcentral.